This 874-nucleotide unclassified non-coding RNA is filed under the name Drosophila ananassae. RNAcentral's name for it is "GF26998". Lineage: Eukaryota; Metazoa; Arthropoda; Insecta; Diptera; Drosophilidae. The record is from RNAcentral.
CCCUGGUAUAGCAGUCAAUUUACAACAGAGAUAGUUUUGUUUACACCGGCAAAAUUGGUUAAAAAUAAUGACAAUGUCGGUCAAUGAAGGAAUUCCCGUAAAUACCUUCCGUAAUUAUUUAAAUAUACUUAACGACUCAUCUGCAAAAGAAGAAAUUAAGCUGAAAGCAACACAAGAGCUUAGUGAACACUUUGAAAUCAUAAUGCAAAGUCCUGCCUAUCCAUCAUUCCUAGAAUCCUCGCUUAAAAUAUUUUUGCGUAUAUUGCAAGAAGGCGAUCCUCAAUUUAUUCAAGAAAAUACUAUGCAGCAUAUUCGCAAGCUUAUUUUGGAGAUGAUUCAUAGAUUGCCAAUAACAGAAAGCUUAAGACAACAUGUCAAAUCAAUUAUAACCAUGAUGCUUAAAUUAUUAAAAACGGAUAAUGAAGAAAAUGUUCUAGUGAGUCUUCGCAUCAUUAUUGAACUGCAUAAACACUUUCGUCCAUCAUUUAAUCCAGAGAUUCAAAUAUUUUUGCGAUUUGUUAAAGAAAUAUAUACAAAUUUGCCGAAUCAUCUAUCAUCCAUAUUUGAAACCUCUUGCGAAAUUUGGAUAAAUGACCUGAAAGACUUAAAUUUGGAAACGCUUUUAUCUGAAGCUUAUUCAGUAAAAACUAUUCAUGUUGAAAAACCCCUGGAUUCUAAUUCUCAACAAAUUGUCAUUUUACCUUUUUAUCGCUCCCAGAUCUCUUUACAAGUGGAAAGAAAAUUACUUUUGAAAUACCUAAGAAAAUAGUUUCCUACGAAAAUGUUUUCAUACAAAAUUUUACAAUUAAUUUCACAUUUUACAAUUAAUUCUAGUAUCUAAGGUACCUGUUUAGUUACAGAGAUACAAUUUAUU